This 253-nucleotide ribosomal RNA is filed under the name uncultured bacterium. Its description in RNAcentral is "partial 16S ribosomal RNA". It matches the Rfam family "Bacterial small subunit ribosomal RNA", at positions 524 to 776 of the family's 1533-position model. The record is from RNAcentral.
UACGGAGGGUGCAAGCGUUAUCCGGAUUCACUGGGUUUAAAGGGUGCGUAGGUGGGUUGGUAAGUCAGUGGUGAAAUCUCCGAGCUUAACUUGGAAACUGCCAUUGAUACUAUUAGUCUUGAAUACUGUGGAGGUCAGCGGAAUAUGUCAUGUAGCGGUGAAAUGCUUAGAGAUGACAUAGAACACCAAUUGCGAAGGCAGCUGGCUACACAUAUAUUGACACUGAGGCACGAAAGCGUGGGGAUCAAACAGG